Molecule: ribosomal RNA, 376 nt
Filed under: uncultured bacterium
Lineage: Bacteria
Description: bacterial SSU rRNA
Rfam family: Bacterial small subunit ribosomal RNA
Source: RNAcentral
UAAUACAGAGGGUGCAAGCGUUAAUCGGAAUUACUGGGCGUAAAGGGUGCGUAGGUGGUUGAAUAAGUUGGGUGUGAAAGUCCUGGGCUUAACCUGGGGAUUGCAUUUGAGACUGUUUAACUAGAGUACUGUAGAGGAAGGUGGAAUUUCCAGUGUAGCGGUGAAAUGCGUAGAUAUUGGAAGGAACAUCAGUGGCGAAGGCGACUUUCUGGACAGAUACUGACACUGAGGCACGAAAGCAUGGGUAGCAAACAGGAUUAGAUACCCUGGUAGUCCAUGCUGUAAACGAUGAGAACUGGCUGUUGGGUGCCAUAGGCAUUUAGUAGCGAAGCUAACGCGUUAAGUUCUCCGCCUGGGGAGUACGGCCGCAAGGUUA